RNAcentral lists this non-coding RNA (26 nucleotides) under Drosophila erecta. Lineage: Eukaryota; Metazoa; Arthropoda; Insecta; Diptera; Drosophilidae. RNAcentral also lists the same sequence under 1 other name. The record is from RNAcentral.
UAGAGAUUGUGUAAAGACUACAGUGA